Molecule: ribosomal RNA, 460 nt
Filed under: uncultured bacterium
Lineage: Bacteria
Description: partial 16S ribosomal RNA
Rfam family: Bacterial small subunit ribosomal RNA
Source: RNAcentral
CCUACGGGAGGCAGCAGUGAGGAAUAUUGGUCAAUGGACGAGAGUCUGAACCAGCCAAGUAGCGUGAAGGAUGACUGCCCUAUGGGUUGUAAACUUCUUUUAUAAAGGGAUAAGACGAGGCACGUGUGCCUUCUUGCAUGUACUUUAUGCAUAAGGAUCGGCUAACUCCGUGCCAGCAGCCGCGGUAAUACGGAGGAUCCGAGCGUUAUCCGGAUUGAUUGGGUUUAAAGGGAGCGUAGGCGGUGUUGCAAGUCAGAAGUGAAAGCCCGCGGCGCAACUGGGGGACUGCUUUUGAAACUGGAUGGCUAGAGUGCAGGAGAGGUAAGUAGAAUUCCAGGUGUAGCGGUGAAAUGCGUAGAUAUUAGGAGGAACACCAGUGGCGAAGGCGGCUUACUGGACUAUAAAUGACGCUGAGGCUCGAAAGCGUGGGGAGCAAACAGGAUUAGAUACCCGUGUAGUC